RNAcentral lists this long non-coding RNA (1205 nucleotides) under Taeniopygia guttata (zebra finch). Its description in RNAcentral is "lncRNA (ENSTGUG00000024877.1)". Lineage: Eukaryota; Metazoa; Chordata; Aves; Passeriformes; Estrildidae. The record is from RNAcentral.
GGGGGGCACCGGGGCUGCCCCCGGACCCCGCCCGCCGCCCCCACGGGCACCGCGGAGGGGUCAGCCCGGCCCGGAGCUCGUCCCGGGUGUGUGACCCCCCCGGGGACAUCCCUGUCCCUGAAUUGUGGCAGGUCUGUGACCCCCCCGGGGACAUCCCUGUCCCCAUCCUUGUCCCAGGUGUGUGACCCCCCCGGGGACAUCCCUGUCCCCAUCCUUGUCCCAGGUGUGUGACACCCCCAGGAUCAGCCCUGUCCCCAUCUUUAUCCCAGGUGUGUGACACUCCCGGGGUCAUCCCUGUCCCCAUCCUUGUCCCAGGUGUGUGACACCCCCAGGGUCACCCCUGUCCCCAUCUUUAUCCCAGGUGUGUGACACCCCCGGGGUCACCCCUGUCCCCAGUUUUGUCCCAGGUGUGUGACACCCCCGGGGACAUCCCUGUCCCCAUCCUUGUCCCAGGUGUGUGACCCAUCCCGGUCCCCCUGCCAGAGACAGCCCUGUCCCCAUCUCCAUCCACGUGUGCCACCCCUCCUGUUGCCCCACCAGGGACCCUGUCCCCACUCUUGUCCCAGGAGCUGCGCAGCGGCCGCUUCUGGCGGGGGGUGCUGGCGGAGCUGACGGCGACCCUCAUCUUCGUGGGGGUGGUCCUGGGGGCUUCGGCAGCCCCCGGGCCACUGGCACCGGCGCUGGCCGGGGGGGUUGGUGGCCGGGGGGCUCGUCUGCACCCUCGGGGGUCCCCAGGCCAACCCCGCGCUGACGCUGGCCCUGCUGUGCACCCGCAAGAUGAGCGCCCUGCGCGGGGUCGUGGGGGUCCUGGCCCAGUGCACGGGGGCCACACUGGCCUCUGCUGCUGCCCGAGCCACGCUGCUGGAUGACAGCAGCCUUGUCACCAGGGUGAGUGACCCCCAUCGCCAUCACCAGGGUGAGUGACCCCCAUCCCCAUCCCUGUCACCUGGCACUGCACAGGUGUCCCUCCCGCAGGUGAGCGCGGUGGGGACAGCGGGGACAGCGCUGGCCUGGGAGACCUUUGCCACCUUCCAGCUGGCACUGGCCGCCUUCGCCGCCGCCGAGCACGCGGCCCCGCAGGCCGGGCUGGCCCUGGGCAGCGCCGUGGCCGCCGGUGCCUUGGCCGCAGUAAGGACCCCCCGUGUCCCACCCACUCAGGGGGUCCCCACUCCAGCAGCCCCUGACCCCCCCCUGUGUCCCACAGG